This 1498-nucleotide ribosomal RNA is filed under the name uncultured prokaryote. RNAcentral describes it as "partial 16S ribosomal RNA". It matches the Rfam family "Bacterial small subunit ribosomal RNA". The record is from RNAcentral.
GUUUGAUCCAUGAUCAGAUUGAACGCUGGCGGCAGGCCUAACACAUGCAAGUCGAGCGGAAACGAUGGAAGCUUGCUUCCAGGCGUCGAGCGGCGGACGGGGGAGGAAUGCGCAGGAAUUUGCCCAGCAGUGGGGGAUAGCCCGGAGAAAUUCGGAUUAAUACCGCAUAUACCCUACGGGGGAAAGAGGGCCUCUCCUUGGAAGCUCUUGCUGUUAGAUGAGCCUGCGUAAGAUUAGCUAGUUGGUAAGGUAAUGGCUUACCAAGGCGACGAUCUUUAGCUGGUCUGAGAGGAUGAUCAGCCACACUGGGACUGAGACACGGCCCAGACUCCUACGGGAGGCAGCAGUGGGGAAUAUUGGACAAUGGGCGCAAGCCUGAUCCAGCAAUACCGCGUGUGUGAAGAAGGGUUUCGGCUCGUAAAGCACUUUCAGUAGGGAGGAAAGUUUAACGGUUAAUACCCGUUAGAUGUGACGUUACCUACAGAAGAAGCACCGGCUAACUCCGUGCCAGCAGCCGCGGUAAUACGGAGGGUGCAAGCGUUAAUCGGAAUUACUGGGCGUAAAGCGCGCGUAGGCGGAUGAUUAAGUCUCAUGUGAAAGCCCUGGGCUCAACCUGGGAACUGCAUGGGAUACUGGUCGUCUAGAAUACGGAAGAGGUGAGUGGAAUUCCUAGUGUAGAGGUGGAAUGCGUAGAUAUAGGAAGGAACACCAGUGGCGAAGGCGACUUACUGGACCAAUACUGACACUGAGGUGCGAAAGCGUGGGGAGCAAACGGGAUUAGAUACCCCGGUAGUCCACGCCGUAAACGAUGUCUACUAGCCGUUGGGAGACUUGAUCUGUCAGUAGCGAAGCUAACGCGUUAAGUUCUCCGCCUGGGGAGUACGACCGCAAGGUUGAAACUCAAAGGAAUUGACGGGGGCCCGCACAAGCGGUGGAGCAUGUGGUUUAAUUCGAUGCAACGCGAAGAACCUUACCUGGUCUUGACAUCCUACGAACUUACUAGAGAUAGUUUGGUGCCUUCGGGAACGUAGUGACAGGUGCUGCAUGGCUGUCGUCAGCUCGUGUUGUGAAAUGUUGGGUUAAGUCCCGUAACGAGCGCAACCCCUAUCUCUAGUUGCCAGCGAUUCGGUCGGGAACUCUAGAGAGACUGCCGGUGAUAAACCGGAGGAAGGUGGGGAUGACGUCAAGUCAUCAUGGCCCUUACGGCCAGGGCUACACACGUGCUACAAUGGAUAAUACAGAGGGUUGCGAACCCGUAAGGAGGAGCUAAUCUCAGAAAAUUAUUCGUAGUCCGGAUUGGAGUCUGCAACUCGACUCCAUGAAGUUGGAAUCGCUAGUAAUCGUGGAUCAGCAUGCCGCGGUGAAUACGUUCCCGGGCCUUGUACACACCGCCCGUCACACCACGGGAGUGGGUUGCAAAAGAAGUGGGUAGACUAACCUUCGGGGGCGCUCACCACUUUGUGAUUCAUGAUUGGGGUAAAGUCGUAACAAGGUAACC